ACCUCGAGUGCCAGGUUACAAAUCUGGCUGUCGUGAUGCCUAAAAAGCAUUGCAUAGCAAGGGCCGGGCAAGACCGGUGCCAGCCGCCGCGGUAACACCGGCGGCUCGAGUGGUAACCGUUAUUAUUGGGUCUAAAGGGUCUGUAGCCGGCCGGAUAAGUCUCUUGGGAAAUCUGGCAGCUUAACUGUCAGGCUUUCAGGAGAUACUGUCUGGCUCGAGGCCGGGAGAGGUGAGAGGUACUUCAGGGGUAGGGGUGAAAUCUUGUAAUCCUUGAAGGACCACCAGUGGCGAAGGCGUCUCACCAGAACGGACCUGACGGCAAGGGACGAAAGCUAGGGGCACGAACCGGAUUAGAUACCCGGGUAGUCCUAGCCGUAAACGAUACUCGCUAGGUGUCGGCCACGGUGCGACCGUUGUCGGUGCCGUAGGGAAGCCGUGAAGCGAGCCACCUGGGAAGUACGGCCGCAAGGCUGAAACUUAAAGGAAUUGGCGGGGGAGCAC
This 501-nucleotide ribosomal RNA is filed under the name uncultured archaeon. RNAcentral's name for it is "bacterial SSU rRNA". It matches the Rfam family "Archaeal small subunit ribosomal RNA", at positions 378 to 879 of the family's 1478-position model. The record is from RNAcentral.